GACGAACGCUGGCGGCGUGCUUAACACAUGCAAGUCGAACGAUGAAGCCCAGCUUGCUGGGUGGAAGAGUGGCGAACGGGUGAGUAACACGUGAGUAACCUGCCUAUCACUCUGGGAUAAGCGCUGGAAACGGCGUCUAAUACUGGAUACGACCUAUCACCGCAUGGUGUGUGGGUGGAAAGAUUUAUCGGUGGGAGAUGGACUCGCGGCCUAUCAGCUUGUUGGUGAGGUAAUGGCUCACCAAGGCGACGACGGGUAGCCGGCCUGAGAGGGUGACCGGCCACACUGGGACUGAGACACGGCACAGCCGCCUACGGGCGGCAGCAGUGGGGAAUAUUGCACAAUGGGCGCCAGCCUGAUGCAGCAACGCCGCGUGGGGGACGACGGCCUUCGGGUUGUAAACCUCUUUUAGUAGGGAAGAAGCGAAAGUGACGGUACCUGCAGAAAAAGCACCGGCUAACUACGUGCCAGCCGCCGCCGUAA
RNAcentral lists this ribosomal RNA (483 nucleotides) under uncultured bacterium. RNAcentral's name for it is "partial 16S ribosomal RNA". It matches the Rfam family "Bacterial small subunit ribosomal RNA", at positions 28 to 523 of the family's 1533-position model. The record is from RNAcentral.